AAUUAGGUAGCUUAAAUAAAGCAGUAGAAUUUUAAUUUAUUGAUGGUAUUACCCUUAGUUU
RNAcentral lists this transfer RNA (61 nucleotides) under Setaphyes kielensis. RNAcentral describes it as "tRNA-Lys". Lineage: Eukaryota; Metazoa; Kinorhyncha; Allomalorhagida; Pycnophyidae. The record is from RNAcentral.